This 1673-nucleotide ribosomal RNA is filed under the name Escherichia coli. RNAcentral's name for it is "partial 23S ribosomal RNA". It matches the Rfam family "Bacterial large subunit ribosomal RNA", at positions 1 to 1718 of the family's 2925-position model. Lineage: Bacteria; Pseudomonadati; Pseudomonadota; Gammaproteobacteria; Enterobacterales; Enterobacteriaceae. The record is from RNAcentral.
GUUAAGCGACUAAGCGUACACGGUGGAUGCCCUGGCAGUCAGAGGCGAUGAAGGACGUGCUAAUCUGCGAUAAGCGUCGGUAAGGUGAUAUGAACCGUUAUAACCGGCGAUUUCCGAAUGGGGAAACCCAGUGUGAUUCGUCACACUAUCAUUAACUGAAUCCAUAGGUUAAUGAGGCGAACCGGGGGAACUGAAACAUCUAAGUACCCCGAGGAAAAGAAAUCAACCGAGAUUCCCCCAGUAGCGGCGAGCGAACGGGGAGCAGCCCAGAGCCUGAAUCAGUGUGUGUGUUAGUGGAAGCGUCUGGAAAGGCGCGCGAUACAGGGUGACAGCCCCGUACACAAAAAUGCACAUGCUGUGAGCUCGAUGAGUAGGGCGGGACACGUGGUAUCCUGUCUGAAUAUGGGGGGACCAUCCUCCAAGGCUAAAUACUCCUGACUGACCGAUAGUGAACCAGUACCGUGAGGGAAAGGCGAAAAGAACCCCGGCGAGGGGAGUGAAAAAGAACCUGAAACCGUGUACGUACAAGCAGUGGGAGCACGCUUAGGCGUGUGACUGCGUACCUUUUGUAUAAUGGGUCAGCGACUUAUAUUCUGUAGCAAGGUUAACCGAAUAGGGGAGCCGAAGGGAAACCGAGUCUUAACUGGGCGUUAAGUUGCAGGGUAUAGACCCGAAACCCGGUGAUCUAGCCAUGGGCAGGUUGAAGGUUGGGUAACACUAACUGGAGGACCGAACCGACUAAUGUUGAAAAAUUAGCGGAUGACUUGUGGCUGGGGGUGAAAGGCCAAUCAAACCGGGAGAUAGCUGGUUCUCCCCGAAAGCUAUUUAGGUAGCGCCUCGUGAAUUCAUCUCCGGGGGUAGAGCACUGUUUCGGCAAGGGGGUCAUCCCGACUUACCAACCCGAUGCAAACUGCGAAUACCGGAGAAUGUUAUCACGGGAGACACACGGCGGGUGCUAACGUCCGUCGUGAAGAGGGAAACAACCCAGACCGCCAGCUAAGGUCCCAAAGUCAUGGUUAAGUGGGAAACGAUGUGGGAAGGCCCAGACAGCCAGGAUGUUGGCUUAGAAGCAGCCAUCAUUUAAAGAAAGCGUAAUAGCUCACUGGUCGAGUCGGCCUGCGCGGAAGAUGUAACGGGGCUAAACCAUGCACCGAAGCUGCGGCAGCGACACUGUGUGUUGUUGGGUAGGGGAGCGUUCUGUAAGCCUGCGAAGGUGUGCUGUGAGGCAUGCUGGAGGUAUCAGAAGUGCGAAUGCUGACAUAAGUAACGAUAAAGCGGGUGAAAAGCCCGCUCGCCGGAAGACCAAGGGUUCCUGUCCAACGUUAAUCGGGGCAGGGUGAGUCGACCCCUAAGGCGAGGCCGAAAGGCGUAGUCGAUGGGAAACAGGUUAAUAUUCCUGUACUUGGUGUUACUGCGAAGGGGGGACGGAGAAGGCUAUGUUGGCCGGGCGACGGUUGUCCCGGUUUAAGCGUGUAGGCUGGUUUUCCAGGCAAAUCCGGAAAAUCAAGGCUGAGGCGUGAUGACGAGGCACUACGGUGCUGAAGCAACAAAUGCCCUGCUUCCAGGAAAAGCCUCUAAGCAUCAGGUAACAUCAAAUCGUACCCCAAACCGACACAGGUGGUCAGGUAGAGAAUACCAAGGCGCUUGAGAGAACUCGGGUGAAGGAACUAGGC